GAGCCGCUUCGUGCGGUGACGGCGUGCCUUUUGCAUAAUGAGCCUACGAGUUACUCAUCACCAGCGAGGUUAAGUACUUCAGGUACGUAAGCCGAAGCGAAAGCGAGUCUGAAUAGGGCGUCAAGUUGGUGGUGGUAGACGCGAAACCUUAGUGAUCUACCCAUGGGCAGGGUGAAGGUUUGGUAACACAAACUGGAGGCCCGAACCGGUAAACGUUGAAAAGUUUUCGGAUGACCUGUGGGUAGGGGUGAAAGGCCAAUCAAACUGGGAAAUAGCUCGUACUCUCCGAAAUGCAUUUAGGUGCAGCCUCUGUUGUUUUGUUCUAGAGGUAGAGCUACUGAUUGGAUGCGAGGGCUUCACCGCCUAUCAAAUCCGGCCAAACUCCGAAUGCUAGAACAUGAAGACAGGGAGUGAGCCAGCGGGUGCUAAGGUCCGUUGACGAAAGAGGGAGAACUCAGACCAUCAGCUAAGGUCCCCAAUUAUAUGCUAAGUUGGAAUAAAAACGGGGUGGGACUGCUUAGACAGCUAGGAUGUUGGCUUGGAAGCAGCCAUUCAUUUAAAGAGUGCGUAACAGCUCACUAGUCGAGCGGUCCUGCAUGGAUAAUACGCGGGCAUAAGCAUAUAACCGAAGCUAUGGGAUUGUAGAUGAUACAAUCGGUAGGAGAGCAUUCCAUUCAGCAUAGAAGCAGUAUCGUGAGGUAUUGUGGAGCGGAUGGAAAAGCAAAUGUAGGCAUAAGUAACGAUAAUGCGGGUGAGAACCCCGCACGCCGAAAGAUCAAGGAUUCCCCGGCAAUGUCAAUCAUCCGGGGGUAAGUCGGAUCCUAAGGGUAAGCCGAGUGGCGAUCCCGAUGGCAAACAGGUUAAUAUUCCUGUACUGAUCAUAACUGCGAUGCAGCGACGCAGAGGUGACACUGCUGCGUACUGACGGAAUAGUACGUUGAAACCCGUAUUCUUUGAUACCGGUAGUGAAGCACGCCGGUAGAGAUGAAAGGUGAUAGUACCGCAAUGCUUCGGUUGCGCGGAUAACGCAGGUAAGCUGACUGCCAAGAAAACCUGCUAAGCUUCAGGUAAUGAUCAUCCGUACUGUAAACGGACACACGUGAUCAGGUAGAAAAUACUAAGGCGCUCGAGAGAUUCAUGGUUAAGGAACUAGGCAAAAUGGUCCUGUAACUUCGGGAUAAAGGACGCUCUUGUGAAAGAGCCGCAGAUAAUAGGCCCAGGCGACUGUUUACCAAAAACACAUGGCUAUGCUAAUUCGCAAGAAGAUGUAUAUGGCCUGACACCUGCCCGGUGCCGGAAGGUUAAGAGGAGAGCUCAGAGGCAACUCGAAGGUUUGAAUUGAAGCCCCGGUAAACGGCGGCCGUAACUAUAACGGUCCUAAGGUAGCGAAAUUCCUUGUCGGGUAAGUUCCGACCUGCACGAAUGGUGUAACGAUCUGGGUACUGUCUCAACCAUGAGCUCGGUGAAAUUGUAGUUCCGGUGAAGAUGCCGGAUACCCGCAACGGGACGGAAAGACCCCGUGAACCUUUACUGCAGCUUUGCAUUGAUUUUGGGUAACAGAUGUGUAGGAUAGGUCGGAGGCUUUGAUGCUGCGUCGUCAGGCGUAGAGUAGCCGUCGUUGAAAUACGACCCUUUUGUUAUCUGAGGUCUAACCCGUUAGGGAGACAUUGCAUGGUGGGUAGUUUGACUGGGGUGGUCGCCUCCAAAAGUGUAACGGAGGCUUCUCAAGGUACCCUCAAGGCGUUUGGUAAUCGUCUGCAGAGUGCAAUGGCAUAAGGGUGCUUGACUGUGAGACCGACACGUCGAUCAGGUUGGAAACAAGAGCAUAGUGAUCCGGUGGUUCCGCAUGGAAGGG
RNAcentral lists this ribosomal RNA (1855 nucleotides) under human gut metagenome. RNAcentral's name for it is "bacterial LSU rRNA". It matches the Rfam family "Bacterial large subunit ribosomal RNA", at positions 577 to 2441 of the family's 2925-position model. The record is from RNAcentral.